RNA transcript from Schistocerca cancellata (South American locust), 2904 nucleotides. It is a transcript of the gene named GDNF-inducible zinc finger protein 1-like, with no coding region annotated. NCBI's taxonomy places the organism in Eukaryota, Metazoa, Arthropoda, Insecta, Orthoptera, Acrididae. The record is from RefSeq and is a predicted model, not a curated record. The transcript has 5 exons.
GAAAAAAAAAUGUUUUUAGUGGACGACUAUAGAGUGAAAAAAAGUGAUUUACACUUUUACCACACUUACCGUUCAGCUGGUGGCGUAUUGAAUGCUUAUCAGAGUAAAUAUUAGUGAAAAAUUGCAUCGCGUGCAUUUCUUGAAAGGUUUACAUUGGCAAAAACGAGAGAAUUUGUGACUAGUGUUACAUUAUUUUGGCGAUCUGAAGAAGUGAAUGCGUUGCAGAGUCAACACUCUUUGAAAUCACCUGCAAACCCAAGAAGUUUCAGUAACUUAGCGAUGACAGUUAUACAUGACUCAAAGAUAAAACCUAAGCGAUCCUUGGAAUAAGGAUGCAUUGGACCACAUUGAGUGUGACAGUUUCAAGUUAUGCAGCAAAUAACUGGUUGGUUACAAGACGUGUUGUGCUGGAUCAAGUGAAUUAUGUUAAAGCAUGUAAUUUGAAUACUCUUAUCCUUUGAUUCAUUAGUUUUGUAUGAAAUUAUCAAGAUUAUUACAGUUUCAUCAUCCCUGUAUUUGGAUGUGAGAUUAUUUCUCUGUAAAUGAGGAGACUGCUUAAAUGUUUUUUCUGUUGUAGUAUUUUAUGAACUAUGCACUAUUCUUGUAAGGUGUACUUGAGUCAGAGGAAGGAUUGAAUGUCAACAGAUACGCACAAGAAAAUUCUUAUCAGCAAUUUUUGGACAUAUCUCAUAGUACUGUUCUAGGUGCUCCGUACACAUGUGAUGGUUGUGGUAGAGUAUACAGUCACUGUAGGAGCCUCUGGAGUCACAUUAGACAUGAAUGUGGGAAAGAACCUCAAUUUCCAUGCCCUUAUUGCCCACUACGGUCCACAAAGAAGAAUAAUUUGCGUGUACAUGUGAGAAGGAAGCACAAGGGCUAUGUAGUCCCUUAAUUAAUUAAUUAAUUAAUUAAAUAUGCUCUUAAUAUCACAUCACAACAGUGAAUCGUGAAUCUCCUUCUGUUAUUCAGCUGAUCCCAUGGAAGUUGAAUAUGUGAUUUAUUAAUUUAGCAGUAUAUUUUGAACUUAUUUUGUAUCUUGUAAUUGACACGUUUAGUAUCAGAGUACUGAAAGGAUAACCACAAAAGCAGAGACAUUUCAUUUGGUUUUGAAGGCGAGAACUCGAACGUGGAAGGAGAGAGAUUUGCUUUGAUAUGUUAUAGCAAAAGAUGAUUUGUGUUUGCUUGUAGACAUACGUGUUGUUUUCAUCCCCAGCAAAAUUAUUUGUGUUUUACUAUGUGAAACGGUGUAACUAGUUGCAGCUCUUAAAGAGAAAGUAAGAUUUUCAGUCGACAAACUAACAAUUAGAAGACUGUGAUAGAAUUUACCAGACUAAACAAAACUGUUUAUACAUGUCUCAGAGGGGAUGUCGUAAGGCACAAUGAAAAUUAGAUGGGAGAUAUACUUUUAUUUAUAUAUUUAUUUAUAUUUAUUUGCCCAAGAAUAAUCUCACAAUGAUAUAGGAAUUGUCAAACAAUGAGUACAUAAAUAUGCUUUAUGAAGAUAGGACAGGUGGCUGGCAUUAAAAACCUAAGAUCAUUAAGAAAACAGAGCAGAAACUUAUGUUGGCUGGACAUAACAUUUCAUUUCAUGUCACAGUGCAUACUAAAUAGAUAAAAAUGUACAAACAUUGAAAGAUUUCUUUAAAUGAUUGUAUAGUUCAAGAAAUAAAAAAGGGCUCAGUUGCAAUUCCAAGCAGUCAGCAUACACUGAGGUGACAAAAGAUAUGGGACAGCGAUAUCCACGUAUAGAGAUGGUGGCAGUACUGCAUACACAAAGCAUAAAAGGGGCAAUUCAUUGGCAGAACUGUCAUUUGUAAUCAGAUGAUUCAUGUGAAAAGGUUUCCGAUGUGAUUAUGGCCCCACAGUGGGAAUUAUCAGGCUUUGGACGUGGAAUUAUAGUUGGAGCUAGAUGCAUGCGACAUUCCAUUUUGGAAAUCAUCAGAGUAUUCAAUAUUAAGAGAUCCACAGUGUCAAGAGCAUGCUGAGAAUAGCAGAUUUCAGGCACUACCUCUCAUCUUGGACAACACGCCGGAUGAUGACCUUCACUUAAAGACCAAGAGGAGGGGAAUUUGCAUAAAGUUAUUGGUGCUAACAGAGAACACUACUUGACUACCAGUGCAAUUGCCUUUGCUAACAGCAUAACGUCACCUGCAACACCUCACCUGGGUUCGUGACCAUAUCGGUUGGAUCCUAGACUACUGGAAAACUGUGGCCUAGUCAGAUGAGGCCUGAUUUCACUCUGUAAGAGCCGAUAGUAGGGUUUGAGUGCAGCACAGACCCCACAAAUCCAUGGACACAGGUUGCUACCAUUCCAUUCUGGUGGUAGCUCGAUAAUGGUGUGAGCUGUGUUUAACGGAAUGGACUGGAUCCUCUGGUCCAUCUGAACAGAUCAUUGACACUACUUCGAGACCAUUUGCAGCCAUAUAGAUGACGAAGUGCUGUGUCACCACCCACAGUUGUCCAUGAUUGAUUUGAAGAAUAUUCUGGACAAUUCAAGUGAAUGAUUUGGCACCCAUAUCAGCCAACCUAAAUCCAAUCAAACAUUUAUGGGACAUAAUCAAGAGGUCACUUCCUGCGCAAAAUCCUGCACUGGCAACCCUUUCACAAUUAUGAACGGCUAUAUGAGGCAGCAUGGAUCAAUAUUUGUGCAGGGUACUUCCAACGACUUGUUGAGUCCAUGCCAUAUUGAGUUGCUGCAAUAUGCUGGGCAAAAGGAGGUCCAACACAAUAUUAUCAGGUAUCCCAUCCCACAACUUUUGUCACCUCAUUUUACGUAGAUUUAUAAGCUCUAACCAAACAUUGCUACAGUUAACAACUGGAAAGAAAAGUGGGAACAUCUUUCAGGUAGAAAUGGGGAUUGCCUAAACAAAAUUGAUUUUGUGAUUUAUAUUUGUUUAUUCUUUU